RNAcentral lists this ribosomal RNA (465 nucleotides) under uncultured bacterium. Its description in RNAcentral is "partial 16S ribosomal RNA". It matches the Rfam family "Bacterial small subunit ribosomal RNA", at positions 28 to 507 of the family's 1533-position model. The record is from RNAcentral.
GACGAACGCUGGCGGCGUGCUUAACACAUGCAAGUCGAACGGUAAGGCUCCAGCUUGCUGGGGUACACGAGUGGCGAACGGGUGAGUAACACGUGGGUGACCUGCCCUGCACUUCGGGAUAAGCCUGGGAAACUGGGUCUAAUACCGGAUAGGACCGCACCGUGAGGGUGUGGUGGAAAGUUUUUUCGGUGUGGGAUGGGCCCGCGGCCUAUCAGCUUGUUGGUGGGGUAAUGGCCUACCAAGGCGGCGACGGGUAGCCGGCCUGAGAGGGUGGACGGCCACAUUAGGACUAAGACACGGCCCAGAAUCCUACGGGAGGCAGCAGGGGGGAAUAUUACACAAUGGGCGGAAGCCUGAUGCAGCGACGCCGCGUGGGGGAUGACGGCCUUCGGGGUGUAAACUCCUUUCACCAUCGACGAAGGGUUUCUGACGGUAGAUGGAGAAGAAGCACCGGCUAACUACGUG